CCUACGGGAGGCAGCAGUGGGGAAUAUUGGGCAAUGGGCGCAAGCCUGACCCAGCAACGCCGCGUGAAGGAAGAAGGCUGUCGGGUUGUAAACUUCUUUUCUCAGGGACGAAGCAAGUGACGGUACCGGAGGAAUAAGCCACGGCUAAAUACGUGCCAGCAGCCGCGGUAAUACGUAGGUGGCAAGCGUUAUCCGCAUUUACUGGGUGUAAAGGGCGUGUAGGCGGGGACGCAAGUCAGAUGUGAAAACCACGGGCUCAACCUGUGGCCUGCAUUUGAAACUGUGUUUCUUGAGUACUGGAGAGGCAGGCGGCUUUCCUAGUGUAGCGGUGACAUGCGUAGAUAUUAGGAGGACCACCAGUGGCGACGGCGGUCUGCUGGACAGCAACUGACGCUGAGGCGCGAACGCGUGGGGAGCAAACAGGAUUAGAUACCCUUGUAGUC
RNAcentral lists this ribosomal RNA (443 nucleotides) under uncultured bacterium. RNAcentral's name for it is "partial 16S ribosomal RNA". It matches the Rfam family "Bacterial small subunit ribosomal RNA", at positions 338 to 795 of the family's 1533-position model. The record is from RNAcentral.